RNAcentral lists this small RNA (150 nucleotides) under Sinorhizobium meliloti 2011. Its description in RNAcentral is "putative ncRNA". The record is from RNAcentral. Lineage: Bacteria; Pseudomonadati; Pseudomonadota; Alphaproteobacteria; Hyphomicrobiales; Rhizobiaceae.
GCGCGGGCGGAACGAUGCCCAGGCAUUCUUUCGCCCGCUUGUUUCGAUUGGUAUGAAUGUACUUCGCCAAGCCGCUUCGCGGUCAGAGCGACAUGCAUCAGGCCUGCUUCUUCUUUUCGUCGUUGGGCAGGAAGGACGAGAGCGCCUUGC